GAUUCUGCGCAAUGCGCUGUUGUGAACCAUGUCAGGGCCGGAAGGCAGCAGCAUUAAGCAAAUUUGCCCAUGUGCCGCAGC
This 81-nucleotide signal recognition particle RNA is filed under the name human gut metagenome. RNAcentral's name for it is "Bacterial small signal recognition particle RNA". It matches the Rfam family "Bacterial small signal recognition particle RNA". From Rfam's summary of the family: The signal recognition particle (SRP) is a universally conserved ribonucleoprotein involved in the co-translational targeting of proteins to membranes. Archaeal SRP consists of a 7S RNA and homologues of the eukaryotic SRP19 and SRP54 proteins. In most bacteria, the SRP consists of a 4.5S RNA and the Ffh protein (a homologue of the eukaryotic SRP54 protein). The record is from RNAcentral.